CGUGUUUCUCUUCUCUCCUUUGUCGUCAUCUCUAGUUUUCUUCGUCGUCUUUCCUUUCCAGUCAUCUCUUCUCUUCUCUCCUUUGCAGUCGUCUCAAUUCUUCUCUCCUUUGCCGUAGAUCUUUGUCUCAGUUCUCUCUACACUUAAUCAUCUCAUUCCCAUCGUAUAAGAUUGCUAUUGAAUUUUAAUUUCGACUUCAAAUUCAGCUCCAACUGCAAUUUUUCCUUAUCUAAAUGUUUUAUUUUCAAUUUCAUAUUUGUUCUUUGAUGUCAGAAUUUUUAGGUUUAUCAAUUAUUGUGAUCUGUUUGUGAUAUGUUUGUGUUAUGUUUGUGAUCUGUUUUUGAUCUGUUUUUGAUUUGUUUGUGUAUAUUAAGUACUUUUAUAAUGUUGAAUUUGGUUCAAAUGCAAAGAUACGUUCAGAUAUUAUGUUGAAUUUGGUUUGGGCAAGUUAUAGUUUUCCAAUUUCUUGUACUAGAUUACCUUUGAUGAUGUUGGAACCUAUUGGUGUGCUUUGUUUCGUGUUAUGAUGCUUGAAGCUUGGGUUUUGUUAAUAUUUUAGUUCUAAGAAGCUAGAUUGUUUAUUUAAUUGUAAACCCAACGUAGGUGGACAUGGAAAUAGAUUGUUUUUUCUAUCGUACCCUGCUGUACCCUAUUGUGGCUUGAAAUGAUCAGAGAAGAGACCAUGUUACUAACAAAAAUCUUCUAAUCAAGAUUGAACAUUGUUCAUAAAACUCGGAAUGUAAAGAUCUAUGCAAAUGACGUAUUCUUGGUGUGUGUGUGUGUGUGUUUCAGGUGCUCUCAUUUGAUGAACAGAUGCUGGCAUUGAGCUGAAGUGCUAAGAAUUGGAACCUCUAGUGGAGAAAGUGACCGAAGUUGACUGGUUGCAAAAGCCUCUUCUUAGGAGACUUUGUUUGUUUGUUUUGUGUUGAUGUUGAUAGGGUGGGAUUGACUGGUUGCAAAAGCAUGUUCUUAGGAGUCUUUGUUUGAUUGUUUUGUGUUGAUGUUAGUGGCUGUGAUCUUGUCGAUGCUACAAUUUUGUUGAAACAAUGUUCUUGAGUAGAUACAUGAUGUUUAAGAUAACUAAAUGCAUUUUACUUGAAUGGGAACCUCCACGCACUUGAUAAAACUGUUGAGACGUCCAAUUUCGAAUCUACAGCAGCUUGCCUUUUGUUCUUCCAUCGAUCAAUGUUGGAUUCAUUUGUGAAAAUGACCUGUUGAACAUUUAAACUCAGCAACUCUAUAUAAGAAAGACUAUGGAGUAACAUAGACUUAGAAGGAAUACUAUCUGAAAAUAAGAUACCAGCUUAUAAUUUUGCA
RNAcentral lists this long non-coding RNA (1317 nucleotides) under Capsella rubella. Its description in RNAcentral is "long non-coding RNA (CRUB_LNC003893)". Lineage: Eukaryota; Viridiplantae; Streptophyta; Magnoliopsida; Brassicales; Brassicaceae. The record is from RNAcentral.